RNAcentral lists this ribosomal RNA (253 nucleotides) under uncultured bacterium. RNAcentral's name for it is "partial 16S ribosomal RNA". It matches the Rfam family "Bacterial small subunit ribosomal RNA", at positions 524 to 776 of the family's 1533-position model. The record is from RNAcentral.
UACGUAGGUGACUAGCGUUGUCCGGAUUUACUGGGCGUAAAGAGCGCGCAGGCGGUCGUUCAAGUCGAGUGUGAAAGCCCCCAGCUCAACUGGGGAGGGUCACUUGAUACUGAUCGACUCGAAGGCAGGAGAGGGAAGCGGAAUUCCCGGUGUAGUGGUGAAAUGCGUAGAUAUCGGGAGGAACACCAGUGGCGAAGGCGGCUUCCUGGCCUGUUCUUGACGCUGAGGCGCGAAAGCUAGGGGAGCAAACGGG